AGAGUUUGAUCCUGGCUCAGAACGAACGCUGGCGGCGGGCCUCAUACAUGCAAGUCGAGCGCGAAAGUCCGCAAGGAUGAGUAAAGCGGCGCACGGGUGAGUAACACGUGGAUAAUCUACCCUUUGGAUUGGAAUAACCUGUCGAAAGACGGGCUAAUGCCGAGUAAGCUCUCGGGAGCGUGAAGCUCUUGCGAGGAAAGAUGGCGCAAGCUAUCGCCGAUGGAUGAGUCUGCGUCCCAUUAGUUAGUUGGUGAGGUAACAGCUUACCAAGACGAUGAUGGGUACCUGGUCUGAGAGGAUGAUCAGGSACACUGGAACUGAAACACGGUCCAGACUCCUACGGGAGGCAGCAGUAGGGAAUAUUGCGCAAUGGACGAAAGUCUGACGCAGCCACGCCGCGUGAGUGAGGAAGGCCUUCGGGUUGUAAAGCUCUGUCAUCCGGGAAAAACGGCUAUCUGGGGAAAGUUCAGGUAGCGUGAUGGCACCGGAGGAGGAAGCACCGGCAAACUCUGUGCCAGCAGCCGCGGUAAUAC
Molecule: ribosomal RNA, 533 nt
Filed under: uncultured Thermoanaerobacterales bacterium
Lineage: Bacteria; Bacillati; Bacillota; Clostridia; Thermoanaerobacterales
Description: bacterial SSU rRNA
Rfam family: Bacterial small subunit ribosomal RNA
Source: RNAcentral